GAUGAACGCUGGCGGCGUGCUUAACACAUGCAAGUCGAACGGAAAGGCCCAAGCUUGCUUGGGUACUCGAGUGGCGAACGGGUGAGUAACACGUGGGUGAUCUGCCCUGCACUUCGGGAUAAGCCUGGGAAACUGGGUCUAAUACCGGAUAGGACCACAUCUUGGAUGGUGUGGUGGAAAGUUUUUCGGUGUGGGAUGAGCUCGCGGCCUAUCAGCUUGUUGGUGGGGUAAUGGCCUACCAAGGCGUCGACGGGUAGCCGGCCUGAGAGGGUGUACGGCCACAUUGGGACUGAGAUACAGGCCAGACUCCUACGGGAGGCAGCAGUGGGGAAUAUUGCACAAUGGGCGCCAGCCUGAGGCAGCGACGCCGCGUGGGGGAUGAGGGCCUUCGGGUUGUAAGCUCCUUUCGCUAGGGACGAAGCGUUUUUGUGACGGUACCUGGAGAAGAAGCACCGGCUAACUACGUG
RNAcentral lists this ribosomal RNA (467 nucleotides) under uncultured bacterium. RNAcentral describes it as "partial 16S ribosomal RNA". It matches the Rfam family "Bacterial small subunit ribosomal RNA", at positions 28 to 507 of the family's 1533-position model. The record is from RNAcentral.